GAAAUGCGAUAAGUAAUGUGAAUUGCAGAAUUCAGUGAAUCAUCGAAUCUUUGAACGCACAUUGCGCCCGCCAGUAUUCUGGCGGGCAUGCCUGUUCGAGCGUCAUUACAACCCUCAGGCCCCCGGGCCUGGCGUUGGGGAUCGGCGGAAGCCCCCUGCGGGCACAACGCCGUCCUCCAAAUACAGUGGCGGUCCCGCCGCAGCUUCCAUUGCGUAGUAGCUAACACCUCGCAACUGGAGAGCGGCGCGGCCACGCCGUAAAACACCCAACUUCUGAAUGUUGACCUCGAAUCAGGUAGGAAUACCCGCUGAACUUAAGC
RNAcentral lists this unclassified non-coding RNA (320 nucleotides) under plant metagenome. RNAcentral's name for it is "partial contains 5.8S ribosomal RNA, internal transcribed spacer 2, and large subunit ribosomal RNA". The stretch from base 1 to 105 matches the Rfam family "5.8S ribosomal RNA", at positions 50 to 154 of the family's 154-position model. The record is from RNAcentral.